GGUCGAUGAUGUGUUGGCAUGUAUUAUCUGAAUUCUGCUGAUGUGUAAUCACACUUUAGCUCUAGAAUUACGCUGAGACCUU
Molecule: small nucleolar RNA, 82 nt
Filed under: Cricetulus griseus (Chinese hamster)
Lineage: Eukaryota; Metazoa; Chordata; Mammalia; Rodentia; Cricetidae
Description: Small nucleolar RNA SNORD45 (ENSCGRG00000023197.1, ENSCGRG00001004154.1, ENSCGRG00015020598.2)
Rfam family: Small nucleolar RNA SNORD45
About the family: U45 belongs to the C/D class of snoRNA which contain the C (UGAUGA) and D (CUGA) box motifs.
Source: Rfam by way of RNAcentral